AUUGAACGCUGGCGGCACGCUUUACACAUGCAAGUCGAGCGGCAGCGCGUCCCCGCAAGGGGAUGGCGGCGAGCGGCGAACGGGUGAGUAAUACAUCGGAACGUGUCCCGUAGUGGGGGAUAACUCAGCGAAAGCUGGGCUAAUACCGCAUAUGCUCUACGGAGGAAAGUGGGGGACCCGCAAGGGCCUCACGCUAUGGGAGCGGCCGAUGUCCGAUUAGCUUGUUGGUGGGGUAAAGGCCCACCAAGGCGACGAUCGGUGGCUGGUCUGAGAGGAUGAUCAGCCACACUGGGACUGAGACACGGCCCAGACUCCUACGGGAGGCAGCAGUGGGGAAUUUUGGACAAUGGGGGCAACCCUGAUCCAGCCAUGCCGCGUGCGGGAAGAAGGCCUUCGGGUUGUAAACCGCUUUUGUCCGGGAAGAAAUGACUUCUCCUAAUACGGGAGGUUCUUGACGGUACCGGAAGAAUAAGCACCGGCUAACUACGUGCCAGCAGCCGCCGUAAUAC
This 509-nucleotide ribosomal RNA is filed under the name uncultured bacterium. RNAcentral describes it as "bacterial SSU rRNA". It matches the Rfam family "Bacterial small subunit ribosomal RNA", at positions 29 to 526 of the family's 1533-position model. The record is from RNAcentral.